CACGUAUAAAGUGCAUAAGAAGUGCUCAUCUUAUUUGAAUUUGAAUUAUUGAUGCAAACCAGGAGAGAUGUGAUAGAGGAAUAAUUCAGAGACUUUGAAGGACAGAGCCUGGAAAACAUGCAAAGGUUUCCAUCCACAGUGGGGGAUGGUGGAGGAGGUUUGGAAUCUUGAGAGGAGGAGAUUCCAAGGGGAGACAGUUGAUCUCUCCAUCUUGAGCAAGCAAAGGUGACAGUCUGAUCAGAAAUUUCUCUCCCAAUCUAUCCAAACGCCUCAUUGAAUUUAACCACCAUUUCCCCCCAAAGAUAAUAAGAAUUGUGACAGGAUCUGAGAAGAAUAAGAACAGCAUAAGAAGACCUCACACAGCUCCUGUGACACCCUGAGUCUGGACAUUGGCUCUGCUGUGAUAGACCAGGGGUCACAAACUUGAACCUCUCAGAGGCCAGACUGGCAAGUGACAAUCCUACGAGGUACAGGCUAUUAUUGACAUCAUUUUAUUGACGAAGAAACUGAGUAUCUAAGUGUUUAAAUGGCUUGCCCAGGUUCUUAGAGCUAACCUUUGAUGAGAUGAAGAAUUCCCUUAAAUAAGCAAACUCAGAAAAAUUAUCAUAACAAGGAAAUAUAGUGUUCAAGGAGAUAUGGUGAAGUGUAUAAAACUCUGGGCUUGGAACCCAGAAGAGCUGAAUUCAAAUCUGUUUUUAGAUCCUUAAUAACUGUGUUUCCUGAACAUCUUGUAAACAGUUUGUCUCAGUUUCCUGAAUUGAAAAAUAGAAAAGAUAAGAGCACCUACCACCCAGGCUGUUUUAAGGAUCAAAUAAUAUCAUUGUGGUCACAUAUUUUCCCAGUACCUGGCAUAAAAAAGACAUCUAAAAAGUAUUUCCUGACUCUCUUACUUUUUUCAAAGUACUAGAAUAUAUUCUAGCUACUUCUCUGGGGUUUGAAGAUUAAAUAAAAUUAUAAAUUAGAGCCCUUGCCCUGAAGGA
This 980-nucleotide long non-coding RNA is filed under the name Monodelphis domestica (gray short-tailed opossum). Its description in RNAcentral is "lncRNA (ENSMODG00000031003.2)". Lineage: Eukaryota; Metazoa; Chordata; Mammalia; Didelphimorphia; Didelphidae. The record is from RNAcentral.